Molecule: ribosomal RNA, 200 nt
Filed under: uncultured prokaryote
Description: partial 16S ribosomal RNA
Rfam family: Bacterial small subunit ribosomal RNA
Source: RNAcentral
UACGGAGGGUGCAAGCGUUGUUCGGAAUUAUUGGGCGUAAAGCGCGCGUAGGCGGUUUGGUAAGUCAGAUGUGAAAGCCCAGGGCUUAACCCAGGAAGUGCAUUUGAAACUGCCGCUCUGGAGUAUGGGAGAGGAGAGUGGAAUUCCCAGUGUAGAGGUGAAAUUCGUAGAUAUUGGGAGGAACACCCGUGGCGAAGGCG